ACGUGCCAGCUACAUGAACCAAUCAGAAGAGAGAAGGAUGCACAUUUAAAGAAAAGUCUGUCAAAAACGAAACCGGAGUGGAGGAGAGUUGUUUUGAUGUCCGUGAUUGUCUGAAGUGUUUGUGAACGUUUUCAGCUCUCGUCUAUUUUAAGUGCGUUGGUUACGCUUAAAUGGCUUAAAACAAUCCUCGGUAUUAACUCCGGAGACUUUCAUCCUUCCUUUACAGUUGAACAUUGCUGGGACAACCAGUCACGCUAGAAAUGCACUUUCUUGGCAUUUUUCUUGGCCUUUUUGUGCUAAUUUUAUCCGAUUCAUCACUGGGUUUUCCUGUUCCAGUAGAUACCAUCAUAGUGCAGGUCCAGCAGUGGGCAGUGGUGGGAGCUCUGCAGGUCACAGAGCAAGUCCUUCUCAAUGGAGUCUCUCUUAGUGGAAAAAGCCAGGAAUUUGACAGCAUUAUCCAAACCAUGUCAGCUGAUACACUCCUUCCAACUCUUAUCAGUGUCAACCACACGUCCAGCCUGAUGAACCACACUGUUCUUCAUUCUCGUGAAUGCAUACUGGAGGGGUCUCAGCUGCACUGGGCUGACCGUGUGUUCUAUGAUGGGAAGGUGUUUCUGACUCUGGACCACACUGACACGUGGACAGCGCACAUACCGGAAGCACUGGCCUUUAAAGUGUUGUGGGAGCAGGAAGAGCAGCGCACAAAGGCGGAGCGGAUCCACCUUCAGGAGGGAUGCGUCAAGAUGAUGGCAAAGCUGAUGCUUUCUGAGGAGCAGUCUGUUCCAGGGAUUCCCUUGCCUAGGUUUCUGAUCCCAAUCUUGGCGCUCCUGGUGUUUACAGGACUAAUCAUCAUCAGUCUCAUCCUCUUCAAAAACCAGGGUUUGAGGCACCCUGGAGGUGUUGUUGGCUCAAUUAUACAUUACCCCAAGGACAUGAGUGAGACUGCUCCAGACAUAAAAGGCAAUGGUUACCGUACCUUGUAAUUCAAAGCUCCAGCUGGUUAACAGGGCCACGUUUGAGCUUUCUAGUCCAUUUCCACGGUUGAAUGUCCACAUACUGAUUUAACACUUCCACUUCCUGCUGUGUACAGACAGUAUUGCUCCAUGAAUGUAACCAAACGUGUGGUCUAGUUUCCAGACUGCAUUAUGUUAUGCACUUUAAUGUAAUUAUCACACUUUACUCUGGUGCAUUUAUUCCAUAUACUUUUAAUAUGUGUGCAUGCAUAUUCACAUAUAUAAACACACACAGAAAUGUAAUCAUGUUGACUGCCUGAGUCAAUAUACAAGCUUCUUUUUGCACAAUUAAAAACUGUAAGGGCAGACAUUUUAAUCAUUUCUGGACUAAGCUAUUCAGGUAAACAAUUUAUGUGUAAAUGUAUAAUAAAUAUGUUCUAUGUUAAGCAUGUACAGUAUCUAAUGCAAGUUAAGACAAAAAAUAUCCCAACUUGUCUUACAAUCGGUGAAUAAAGCCCUGCUCUCAAGUGCUUUUAGUUUUGACCAAUCACACUGAACUCUGCCAAACACUGGAUGGACUACUGUCAGUGUGUCCAGUGAUCCAAAGACUGUGUUGUGUUGUUUGGUUUGAGAUACUGUCCUUAUGGUUUUCAUAUUUCUUUGUGUCUUUUCUAUAUGUUUGCCCCUAUGAUUUGUUCAUGUAAAAUUUAAAUAAAAUGUUAAAUAAAAAUUAUAUUAUAUUAUUAUUAUAUUGUCAGAUUAUUUUUUUCAUUCUGU
Long non-coding RNA from Cottoperca gobio, 1730 nucleotides. Ensembl lists it as uncharacterized. Lineage: Eukaryota; Metazoa; Chordata; Actinopteri; Perciformes; Bovichtidae. The record is from Ensembl.